RNAcentral lists this long non-coding RNA (233 nucleotides) under Elaeis guineensis (African oil palm). RNAcentral describes it as "long non-coding RNA (EGUI_LNC061923)". Lineage: Eukaryota; Viridiplantae; Streptophyta; Magnoliopsida; Arecales; Arecaceae. The record is from RNAcentral.
AUGCCUCCAUGACGAAUGAAGAAUACUCAAGGAGCGGUAGGAGGGACAUUAAAUCUACUUGGUGAUAACAUGCCCCAUUUGAAUAGUGGCACAUCUCAGUAGGAGGGAAUCAUUGACCCUACUGAAAAUACUUCGACAGUGCAGGAAGAGCCGAAUAUGACUCAAUUAAUGCAAACUCUGAUCGGAGUAGUACAAACACAGUAAUAGUUACUUCAACAACAACAUGCACAACC